This 443-nucleotide ribosomal RNA is filed under the name uncultured bacterium. RNAcentral's name for it is "partial 16S ribosomal RNA". It matches the Rfam family "Bacterial small subunit ribosomal RNA", at positions 338 to 795 of the family's 1533-position model. The record is from RNAcentral.
CCUACGGGCGGCAGCAGUGGGGAAUAUUGCGCAAUGGGCGAAAGCCUGACGCAGCGACGCCGCGUGAGGGAAGAAGGCCCUCGGGUUGUAAACUUCUUUUAUCAAGGACGAAACAAAUGACGGUAAUUGAUGAAUAAGCCACGGCUAACUACGGGCCAGCAGCCGCGGUAAUACGUAGGUGGCAAGCGUUAUCCGGAUUUACUGGGUGUAAAGGGCGGGUAGGCGGGGCGGCAAGUCAGAUGUGAAAGCCAUGGGCUCAACCCAUGAGCUGCAUUUGAAACUGUAGUUCUAGAGUGUUGGAGAGGCAGGCGGAAUUCCGUGUGUAGCGGUGAAAUGCGUAGAUAUACGGAGGAACACCAGUGGCGAAGGCGGCCUGCUGGACAAUAACUGACGCUGAGGCGCGAAAGCGUGGGGAGCAAACAGGAUUAGAUACCCCGGUAGUC